This is a long non-coding RNA of Ipomoea nil (Japanese morning glory), 603 nucleotides long. RefSeq lists it as uncharacterized. The record is from RefSeq and is a predicted model, not a curated record. The transcript is spliced from 3 exons. NCBI's taxonomy places the organism in Eukaryota, Viridiplantae, Streptophyta, Magnoliopsida, Solanales, Convolvulaceae.
UUUUCAAGUAUUCUUUAGUUUAAAAAUGAUUUUAAAGUGUGCUCUUUAGUUUAAAAAAAUUGUUGACAUUCUUCUCAAUUCCUUGGAGCAGGUAAUUUUCUUUUUCAUAACCUAUGAAUUAUUGCUAGCCUAAAGUUGUUGACAUUGUUGCUCAAUUCCUUAGAAUGAUGAACUCUCCUGAUGACUUUGUUAAGGCAGGAUGUGAAGAGCAAAAUGGUUCUUCUGGAUAAGCUUCUUCCAAAACUAAAGGAGCGUGGUUCAAGGGUGUUAAUAAUUUCACAGAUGACCAGACAUUUAGACAUUCUUGAAGAUUACUUAAUGUACCGUGGUCAUCAAUAUUGCCGGAUUGGCGGAAAUACUGGUGGGGAGGAAUGUGAUGCCUUCCAUUGAAGCCUUUAUCAAGUCAGGAAGUGAGAAAUUUGCUUUCUUGUUAUCAACUAGGGCUCUGGGGUCUUUUCUAGUGAACCUUUCUUGUGUGUUUUUCUUUCUUGUAUUUAUUUUUUGGUGGCAUUUUUAAUUACGCGCAUACUUAUAUUCUCAAUAAGCCUAUGGUUCCUUGAACAUAUCCUUUAUGCAAAAAAGAGGAUCUAGUAUUUGUUGAAA